Molecule: ribosomal RNA, 254 nt
Filed under: uncultured bacterium
Lineage: Bacteria
Description: partial 16S ribosomal RNA
Rfam family: Bacterial small subunit ribosomal RNA
Source: RNAcentral
UACGUAGGGUGCAAGCGUUGUCCGGAAUUAUUGGGCGUAAAGCGUGCGUAGGCGGUUUGUUAAGUCUGCUGUGAAAUCCCCGGGCUCAACCUGGGAAUGGCAGUGGAUACUGGCAAGCUAGAGUGUGUCAGAGGAUGGUGGAAUUCCCGGUGUAGCGGUGAAAUGCGUAGAGAUCGGGAGGAACACCAGUGGCGCAAGCGGCUAUCUGGACUGACAUUGACGCUGGAGGCACGAAAGCGUGGGGAUCAAACAGG